RNAcentral lists this long non-coding RNA (407 nucleotides) under Helianthus annuus (common sunflower). RNAcentral's name for it is "sRNA HanXRQr2_Chr09g0386111". Lineage: Eukaryota; Viridiplantae; Streptophyta; Magnoliopsida; Asterales; Asteraceae. The record is from RNAcentral.
UCACAAGUGUUUCAUCCGACAAACACUUCUUCAGGUUGGAUAUGUGAAAAACGUUAUGUACCGCACUCAGUUCUUCAGGCAGGUUCAAUCUAUAAGCAACCUUACCGAUCUUCUCGGUAAUUUCGAAUGGUCCGAUAUAUCGCGGAUUAAGCUUGCCCCGUUUACCAAAGCGAACCACACCCUUCCAGGGUGAGACUUUAAGUAGAACCCGGUCACCGACCUGGAAUUCCAAUGGUUUCCUACGCUUAUCAGCGUAGCUCUUCUGACGGUCACGAGCUGCCGCCAUGCGUUGUCUGAUCUGGGCAAUCUUUUCCGUUAUACGUGAAAAACGUUGUGUACCGCACUCAGUUCCUCAGGCAGGUUCAAUCUAUAAGCAACCUUACCGAUUUUCUCGGUAAUUUCGAAUG